RNAcentral lists this ribosomal RNA (1590 nucleotides) under Triticum aestivum (bread wheat). RNAcentral describes it as "partial small subunit ribosomal RNA". The record is from RNAcentral. Lineage: Eukaryota; Viridiplantae; Streptophyta; Magnoliopsida; Poales; Poaceae.
AUGCUUUCACAACUUGACUUUAAAAUAUUUGGUUUGGAGACCAUCAAAGAUCAAUAUGUUCAUGAUGCUGAAUUUAAAGAUGUAUUGCAGAAUUGUAAGGAAGGGAGAACUUGGAACAAGUUCGUUCUUAACGAUGGAUUUGUGUUUCGUGCUAACAAACUAUGCAUUCCAGCUAGCUCCGUUCGUCUUUUGUUGUUGCAGGAGGCGCAUGGAGGAGGAUUAAUGGGACACUUUGGCGUCAAGAAGACGGAGGAUAUACUUGCGACACAUUUCUUUUGGCCAAAGAUGAGACGGGAUGUUGAGCGUUUUGUUGCUCGCUGCACUACAUGUCAAAGAGCUAAGUCACGACUCAAUCCUCAUGGUUUAUAUAUGCCUUUGCCUGUCCCUAGUGUUCCUUGGGAGGAUAUAUCUAUGGACUUUGUUUUAGGUUUACCUCGAACAAAGAAGGGGAGGGAUAGCAUCUUUGUUGUCGUGGAUAGGUUCUCGAAAAUGGCACACUUUAUACCAUGUCAUAAAAGCGAUGAUGCUGUUAAUGUUGCUGAUUUGUUCUUUCGUGAAAUUAUUCGCUUACAUGGUGUGCCAAAUACUAUUGUUUCAGAUCGUGAUACUAAAUUUCUUAGCCACUUUUGGAGAUGUUUAUGGGCUAAGUUGGGGACUAAGCUGCUUUUUAGUACUACUUGUCACCCCCAAACUGAUGGACAAACUGAAGUAGUCAAUAGAACAUUGUCUACUAUGCUUAGGGCUGUUUUGAAGAAUAACAAGAAAAUGUGGGAAGAAUGCUUGCCUCAUAUUGAAUUUGCUUAUAAUCGUUCAUUGCAUUCUACUACUAAGAUGUGCCCAUUUGAAAUUGUGUAUGGUUUCCUACCUCGUGCACCUAUUGAUUUGUUGCCUCUUCCAUCUUCAGAGAAGGUUAAUUUUGAUGCUAAAGAACGUUCUGAAUUGAUUUUAAAAAUGCAUGAGUUAACUAAGGAAAACAUUGAGCGUAUGAAUGCUAAAUAUAAACUUGCUGGAGAUAAGGGUAGAAAACAUGUUGUGUUUGCGCCUGGAGAUCUUGUUUGGUUACAUUUGCGUAAAGAUAGAUUUCCUAAUUUGCGCAAAUCAAAGCUAAUGCCACGUGCUGAUGGUCCUUUUAAGGUGUUAGAGAAAAUAAAUGAUAAUGCAUAUAAACUUGAGCUACCUGUAGAUUUUGGGGUUAGUCCCACUUUUAACAUUGCAGAUUUGAAGCCUUAUUUGGGUGCGGAAGAUGCGCUUCCGUCGAGGACGACUUCAUUUCAAGAAGGGGAGGAUGAUGAGGACAUCAAUACCAUUGUUGCACCCACAGCCCCUACUGUUACAUAUACUGGACCAAUUACUAGAGCUCGCGCACGCCAAUUAAAUUACCAGGUACUUUCGUUUCUUGGUAAUGAUUCUAAUGUUCAUGAGAUUAUGAUGCUGCCUAAAUUGGAUACAUUUGUUUUGCUUACAAAUGAAGGGCCUAGCUUGGAGAAGGAUGAACAUUGGAGCAAGAACACACAUGGAGUUGAUGGCAUGCGCAAGGGGAUCAAGAAUGGAGUUACAAGUGAUGAUUUCAGGACUUUAAAGCCGCCAUAA